GAUGAACGCUGGCGGCGUGCCUAAUACAUGCAAGUCGAGCGAACAGACGAGGAGCUUGCUCCUCUGACGUUAGCGGCGGACGGGUGAGUAACACGUGGAUAACCUACCUAUAAGACUGGGAUAACUUCGGGAAACCGGAGCUAAUACCGGAUAAUAUAUUGAACCGCAUGGUUCAAUAGUGAAAGACGGUUUUGCUGUCACUUAUAGAUGGAUCCGCGCCGCAUUAGCUAGUUGGUAAGGUAACGGCUUACCAAGGCAACGAUGCGUAGCUGACCGGAGAGGGUGAUCGGCCAAACUGGAACUGAGACACGGUCAAGACUCCGACGGGAGGCAGAAGUGGGGAAUCUUGGACAAUGGGCGAAAGCCUGAUGAAGCAACGCCGCGUGAGUGAAGAAGGUCUUCGGAUUGUAAAGCUCUUUAAGUGGGGAAGAAAAAAAGUAAAUGAAUAUCUGGACGUUUUGACGUUACCAAAAGAAAAAGCACCGGCUAACUUCGUG
This 497-nucleotide ribosomal RNA is filed under the name uncultured bacterium. RNAcentral describes it as "partial 16S ribosomal RNA". It matches the Rfam family "Bacterial small subunit ribosomal RNA", at positions 28 to 507 of the family's 1533-position model. The record is from RNAcentral.